GAUGAACGCUGGUGGCGUGCCUAAUACAUGCAAGUCGAGCGAACACACCGGGACCUGUCGCCUCUGGCUUUGUCAGCCGAGGGGACAUUCACACAGGUUUGGCCUACCUCUACGACUGGGAUACUAUCACGGGACCGUGUCUACGACCCGAUGAUAUAUCGAACCUCGUUGUUCCAUAGUUAAAUACGCUUGUUCUUACGCUUAUAGAUUGCUCCGCCCCGCAUUAGCUAGUUGUUAAGGUAACGGCUUAACAAGGCAACGAUGCGUAGCCGACCUGAGCGGGUGAUCCGCCACACGGGAAGUGAGAAACGGCAGAGACUCCUACGGGAGGACGCAGUAGGGAAUCCUACGCAAUGGGCGAAAGCCGGACGGAGCAACGCCGCGUGAGUGAUGAAGGUCUUCGGAUGGUAAAACUAUGUAAUUAGGGAAGAACAAAUGUGUAAGUAACUAUGCACGUCUUGACGGUACCUGAUCAGAAAGCCACGGCUAACUACGUG
Molecule: ribosomal RNA, 497 nt
Filed under: uncultured bacterium
Lineage: Bacteria
Description: partial 16S ribosomal RNA
Rfam family: Bacterial small subunit ribosomal RNA
Source: RNAcentral